CUCUUUCCCUAAGCAGCCUGAGGGUUGACUGGAUUGGUGAGGCCCGUGUGGCUACUUCUGUGGAAGCAGUGCUGUAGUUACUGGAAGAUAAAAGGGAAAGCAAGCCCUUGGUGGGGGAAAGUAUGGCUGCGAUGAUGGCAUUUCUUAGGACACCUUUGGAUUAAUAAUGAAAACAACUACUCUCUGAGCAGCUGUUCGAAUCAUCUGAUAUUUAUACUGAAUGAGUUACUGUAAGUACGUAUUGACAGAAUUACACUGUACUUUCCUCUAGGUGAUCUGUGAAAAUGGUUCGCUAUUCACUUGACCCGGAGAACCCCACGAAAUGUAAGUGGACAGGAGGUAGAUACCCAUUUCCUACUUGGGGCUUGGCAUAAGAUACCAAAAAUUAACCAAAACGUUUUAUUUUCUAGCAUGCAAAUCAAGAGGUUCCAAUCUUCGUGUUCACUUUAAGGUAUGCGAUUCAUAGUUGUGAUCCAACAGUUCCUCAUGUUCCACUCAAAAAAGGUAGCUGCAGUGAUGACUUUCUUAGGACACCUUUGGAUUUACCGUGAAAAUUAAUAAAUUCUGAGCAGCCACCUUAUAUUUAGGCAUUG
RNAcentral lists this long non-coding RNA (593 nucleotides) under Homo sapiens (human). RNAcentral's name for it is "non-protein coding lnc-RPL17-2:4". The stretch from base 509 to 573 matches the Rfam family "Small nucleolar RNA SNORD58". Lineage: Eukaryota; Metazoa; Chordata; Mammalia; Primates; Hominidae. The record is from RNAcentral.